RNAcentral lists this long non-coding RNA (4265 nucleotides) under Rhinopithecus roxellana (golden snub-nosed monkey). RNAcentral describes it as "lncRNA (ENSRROG00000045817.1)". The record is from RNAcentral. Lineage: Eukaryota; Metazoa; Chordata; Mammalia; Primates; Cercopithecidae.
CCCCCCUGCGCCCGGGCGGGCCGGGGACCCUCAGAGGCGAGCCGGCUGCCUCGGGUCACACAUCCGCGAACUCCGGGGCGGGCUCCCCAGGACGCCGCCGCCCCCCACGACCCCCAGCCCUCCCGCUUCCGUGGAAAGCCGCCCCGACGACCCCCGUGCGGGUUGUUGAGGGGCCGUCCUCCGCCGACCGCUGUGGGAACAGCUCCGCGCGUGCGGCGGGACGCGGCGAGUCAGCGGCAGGAAGAGCGCACGGCACACGGGAACACAGCAACUAGACUGGGAGCAGCAGGGCUUGCAGCAGCUGGACUGGCAGCAGGAUGACCCACAGCCUGAGGAGCAGCAGCAGGGCUUACAGCAACUGCACUGGGAGCAGGAUGGCCCACAGCCUCCCUUAGAGCCACCACAAGAGCCACAGCUGGAGCAGGAACAGGCUGGGAUACAGCAACACACAGGCUUGCAGCAGCAGACGGGCACACAGCAGCCAGAGCCACAGCCCCCACAGCCGGAGCCACAGCCUCCAGAGCAGCCACAGCAGCCCAUGGUUCUGGUGGAUCGAGGGUGGAGCAGGCAGAGGAGCAGAUGGAGACAACAGGAAGGAAGGAGGUCUUCCUGGUUACAGGUGGCCACAGGAGAAUAGGCAGCGGCCCAGGAGGAUCCAGGGUCCCAAUGGUGGUUGAGAAGCUGGUUUUUAGUGAUCACUCAGGAAUGUCGACCUGGCCUUGUGGGGUCAGACUUUGCAUCUCAGUCAUCCCAGGGAGAAGAAGAAGAUGGUCCACACCCAAGUGCAGGGAACACCGUGGCAGUCGGUUGGGCACCCGCUUCCAGGCAAGGACACCUCCUGCAUCAAGGAAACACGUGUUUCCGGAGUGAGGAGGCUGAAGGCGGGGCCCAGAGGAGAGCCGAGCCAUGGAAGGAGGAGAAACCUGAAGGUCUGGGUCCAGAGCCUCAGAUCUUGCACUGGCAGCACAUGGGGACACAGCAGGUGGACUGGCAGCAGCAGGGUUUGCAGCAACUGGACUGGCAGCAGGAUGACCCACAGCCUGAGGAGCAGCAGCAGGGCUUACAGCAACUGCACUGGGAGCAACCACAAGAGCCACAGCCCCCCUUGGAGCCCCCACAAGAGCCACAGCUGGGGCAGGAACAGGCUGGCACAAAGCAGCACACGGGCUUGCAGCAGCAGACGGGCACACAGCAGCCGGAGCCAGAGCCCCCACAGCUGGAGUCACAGCCUCCAGAGCAGCCACAGCAGCCCAUGGUUCAGGUGGGUUGAGGCUGGAGUGGGUGGAGGAGCAGGUGAGAAGGAGGUGCAGGUGUGGAGCCCCCUGAGCCCGGGCCCUUUAUACCCCACAUAGGAGCACACCAUCGUCUCUGUCUCUUUCCGGUUGCUGUUUACACAGCUCCUGGAGGUAUGUCUUGAUGGUUUUACUUUGGCUAUGUUGACAUUUUCUGGAUCCAAGUAUGAGCUCUUCCUCCUGAGAUUAUUUCCUUGUGGAAUUCAUACUGGAAGGAAAAACAGCUCCAACGCUGGCUCACCUCAGGAGGAAGUGCAGCCUCCUCAAGGGCUUAGGCUCUGUCCCAGCUCCUGACUCUGACUCUCCGUGGGCCUUUGAGCAGAUCCAAUCAACCUUGGAGCCCCAGCUUUCUCUCCUGCAGAGGGGAGCUAGCAGCACCAGCCUCUGGGGGUUGCAUGAGAAUUACCUGAGAUUAUUCAUGUAUUGCAUCUUUUGCAAUGCCCCAACUCCCCAUCCCUCACCCUCAGGCAGGGUUCCAUCUUGGCAGGACUGGAUCAAUGUUGCAGAUUUCUGAUGUUCGACGCUGUGAGACACCCUCCCAGCCCCCAGAGCAGUGCCGCUGUCUACCUGAUUCCUGCUGGUGCCCCCAGGGAUGUGGUAUCUUCUUUGUGGCAACUAUGGCUGAGGAUGGCAGGGUUCUCAGCAUUGGGGAAGGAAUACAUCCUCUGUUUACCUCCUCCCUGUUUCUGGACCAGUCUCUGUGGGCAGGGCAAUGGGCUCUGUGAUUACAGAAGGGAAGUUCACACAGCACGGUCCUUGGGGACAUGUGAGAAGAGCUUCCCACUGCUUUGGAACUAUUGUGUGGACAGGUUCUUCUCUUGGAGGAAAACAAAGCUUGGAGCAGAACUUGAGGAAUGGGGGAGGGACCAUGAUGGGUACAAACAGCAACCAAGGGGCAGGAAGGAUACUCCAGCCAGGAGGCAGGGCACUAGCGAUGGUGAGGAGGCUGCAGGUGCAGGAACCCGUCAGUAUGGUCCACACUCAGAUGUGGCUCAAAUGUGUGAAGAGUGGAUGUGCAGGCUUACAACCUUCCAGUGUGCCUCGGCCGACAUGGGGUGAAACCCAAACCCCUGACACUGGCCCAUCCACCUCUCCAGCUGGAUUUGACCAUGGCCUUGGCCACCCAUCGUUCCAGAACCAAUCAGCCCAAAGCUCAGUGGAUCAGGAGUUCAGGUCUGGCCCUGGAUGGUGGAACAGGCUGCACGAUGCGUGGGGUCUCAGCUGGGAAGGUACCAAUGGCUAACGAUGGCAGCAUGGCUUGGCUGGGCUGUAUUUUGGGACCUCAGAUCUGGCCGUCUGCAGGGUUCCCUGGUUUUUCUCUCAAUUGUGUCAGCGGGGGCUGGCUUGUCGAAGACGCUGUGUUCACACGCCUGUGGGAUCGCUACAACAGGUGAGGCUGGACAGAUCUCCCUCCCUCCCCACCUCACGGCCUCUUCCCACGGCUGGCUGGGGCUUCCUCACAGCACGGUGGGCUCAGGGCAGCUGUACUUCCUACGAGGUCACUGGAGCAGAGGCCGGAAGGUACCUUAUGACCCAGCCUAGGAAUCGUAGAGUAUUUAUCUCUCCUCAGGUCACUAAGGCCAGCCCAGAUUGUGGAGAGAAGAGAAAAUCCACCUCUCCACGGGAGGAGAAUGACUUGGCAUCAUCUUCAAACUGCCUCAAUCAUUCUUCAUCCAGCCCUGGAUUGGUGCCCGGGACACACCGUGCUCCUCCUUACUCACGUCCUGUGUGCUGGCGGUUCCUACACGGAACAGACUCGCCCAGGACCACCCUGGACUGCGUCCCUCCUGUCUGUCCAGCUCAGAUCCACCUCUGAGACCCCAUCCCGAGAUAGCCACCCCCGCCACCUCGCAUUCUCUGCUUCAUUAUUGAUUCCCACGAUGCCAAACUGGAUCCGCUCUCCCCCUUGUUUGUUCUUGGAGGUGUGUGUCCCACCUCGGGAGUGUGAGCUCUGCAGGGGCAGCGGCUUUAUCCCGCAUGCAGCCAUGCAGCUCUGUCACCCACACCUGGACACACUCCAUAAUCGUCAUUGAGAGAGGGAGUUGUCAACUGAAGGAGGACGAGGUCAUCAAUUUGGAAAGGAGCACUUUGCUUCUCACAGCGCUGCGGGCUGAGUGUGGCUGUUCUGACCGGCUGGGAGGCACAGCCUCUGGUAGGAAGCUGGAAACAGACACUUCCAGGGAGGGAAGACUAAGGCAGAGAUCUACACUGAGCGGGGGUGGCUGAAUAUGCAUAUUCAAUAAGCUGUGGGAGGGGCAUGAACAUUGAUGAGAGGAGAAACCAGGCGUAUGCACAAUUGAGCUUCACAUCUCUCCAUGUGCAAAAACCAGAGGAGUUAACCUGAUCUGAGGGUGGAGUUUUGGGCCCUCUGAUGUCAAAAGGUGAAGCAGCGGACUCGGAAGCCCUCCCUGCGCCUCUUCCCUGGAAUGGCCAGGGCCUCCCCAUGGGGGUCUCCUAUCAGGAAGAAGAGAGGGGCAAUGUCUGGGGUUCACUGAUCUCAGCGGCGCAGUCUCCACAGGUUAGACUCCUGCUUUCCCUGAGGUGAGUGUCAAGCCCCGGAGCGCAAGCUAAGCCAUCGUAUCCCCUGUGACCUGCAUGUACAUAUCCAGAUGGCCUGAAGCAAGUGAAGAAUCACAAGAGAAGUGAAAAUGGCCGGUUUCUGCCUUAACUGGUGACGUUCCACCAUUGUGAUUUGUUCCUGCCCCACCUUAAUUGGGAGAUUAACCUUGUGAAAUUCCUUCUCCUGGCUCAGAAACUCCCCCACUGAGCACCUUGUGACCCCCACCCCUGCCUGCAAGAGAAAAACCCCCUUUGAUUGUAAUAUUCCACGACCCACCAAAAUCCUCUAAAACUGCCCCACCCCAUCUCUCUUCGCUGGCUCUCUUUUCGGACUCAGCCCGCCUGCACCCAGGUGAUUAAAAAGCGUUAUUGCUCACACAAAGCCUGUUUGGUGGUCUCUUCACACCGACACGG